Molecule: ribosomal RNA, 466 nt
Filed under: uncultured bacterium
Lineage: Bacteria
Description: partial 16S ribosomal RNA
Rfam family: Bacterial small subunit ribosomal RNA
Source: RNAcentral
GACGAACGCUGGCGGCGUGCUUAACACAUGCAAGUCGAACGGAAAGGCCCUGCUUUUGUGGGGUGCUCGAGUGGCGAACGGGUGAGUAACACGUGAGUAACCUGCCCUUGACUUUGGGAUAACUUCAGGAAACUGGGGCUAAUACCGGAUAGGAGCUCCUGCUGCAUGGUGGGGGUUGGAAAGUUUCGGCGGUUGGGGAUGGACUCGCGGCUUAUCAGCUUGUUGGUGGGGUAGUGGCUUACCAAGGCUUUGACGGGUAGCCGGCCUGAGAGGGUGACCGGCCACAUUGGGACUGAGAUACGGCCCAGACUCCUACGGGAGGCAGGAGUGGGGAAUAUUGCACAAUGGGCGGAAGCCUGAUGCAGCAACGCCGGGGGCGGGAUGAGGGCCUUCGGGUUGUAAACCGCUUUCGCCUGUGACGAAGCGUGAGUGACGGUAAUGGGUAAAGAAGCACCGGCUAACUACG